AGAGUUGAUCCUGGCUCAGAACGAACGCCUGGCGGCGUGCUUAACACAUGCAAGUCGAACGCGAACGGUUCUUCGGAGACCUAGUAGAGUGGCGCACGGGUGAGUAACGCGUAAGUAAUCUACCCCGGCAUUCGGAAUAACUCAUCGAAAGGUGAGCUAAUACCGGAUACGUUGGUAACAAGAAAGGUGGCCUCUGCAUAUGCUACCGUGCUGGGAUGAGCUUGCGUACCAUUAGCUAGUUGGUAGGGUAAUGGCCUACCAAGGCGACGAUGGUUAGCGGGUCUGAGAGGAUGAUCCGCCACACUGGAACUGGAACACGGACCAGACUCCUACGGGAGGCAGCAGUGAGGAAUAUUGCGCAAUGGGGGCAACCCUGACGCAGCGACGCCGCGUGGAUGAUGAAGGCCUUCGGGUCGUAAAAUCCUGUCAGGUGGAAAGAAGUGCACGAUGGCUAAUAUCCAUUGUGUUUGACGGUACCACCGAAGGAAGCACCGGCUAACUCCGUGCCAGCAGCCGCGGUAA
RNAcentral lists this ribosomal RNA (522 nucleotides) under uncultured delta proteobacterium. Its description in RNAcentral is "bacterial SSU rRNA". It matches the Rfam family "Bacterial small subunit ribosomal RNA", at positions 8 to 523 of the family's 1533-position model. The record is from RNAcentral. Lineage: Bacteria; Deltaproteobacteria.